GAAAUGCGAUAAGUAAUGUGAAUUGCAGAAUUCAGUGAAUCAUCGAAUCUUUGAACACACAUUGCGCCCGCCAGUAUUCUGGCGGGCAUGCCUGUUCGAGCGUCAUUACAACCCUCAGGCCCCGGGCCUGGCGUUGGGGAUCGGCGGAAGCCCCCUGCGGGCACAACGCCGUCCCCCAAAUACAGUGGCGGUCCCGCCGCAGCUUCCAUUGCGUAGUAGCUAACACCUCGCAACUGGAGAGCGGCGCGGCCACGCCGUAAAACACCCAACUUCUGAAUGUUGACCUCGAAUCAGGUAGGAAUACCCGCUGAACUUAAGC
This 319-nucleotide unclassified non-coding RNA is filed under the name plant metagenome. RNAcentral's name for it is "partial contains 5.8S ribosomal RNA, internal transcribed spacer 2, and large subunit ribosomal RNA". The stretch from base 1 to 105 matches the Rfam family "5.8S ribosomal RNA", at positions 50 to 154 of the family's 154-position model. The record is from RNAcentral.